Molecule: long non-coding RNA, 593 nt
Filed under: Pan troglodytes (chimpanzee)
Lineage: Eukaryota; Metazoa; Chordata; Mammalia; Primates; Hominidae
Description: lincRNA
Source: RNAcentral
CGGACCAGGAUUCCCGCGGGUCCUGGCGGCUGCGAGCGCGAGGCGGCGCGGAUUCGCGGCUCGGUUCCGGCGCGACUGCUCACCGCGCCCGCCUCGCCUCCCGCGGCUGCCAGCGUGCACUGGGCGCUCCUCGGCGCGUCUGCCCGGCCCGUCUCGGCUUUCCUUCUCCUUCCUCUAGUCCCAGCGUCACAACUCCGCCGACCUCCUCUGCCCUGAGAGCGCGUCCGGUGCGGGCGGAGUCGGAUGGACUCUGGCUUCACGCCUCGCGCGGGCACACCUUCUCCCGGGCACUGAGGCCCAGGGGAGGCAGAGUCCUUCUGGAGUUUGACCCUUGGAUUCCAUCCAGAGCAGCCUCCAAAAUGACACCUUUGAAGUUGUGUAUCGAGCUGGGGGAUGUAAAGGGAGGAGAAGAAAGAAGAUGAAGAGAUACCAGCCAGCCUUAAGGAGUGGACAUCCUGCCUGGUGAAACUGAACAAGACACCGACCGCAUAUGGAGUUUCGCUCUGUCGCCCAGGCUGGAGUGCAGUGGUGCCAUCUCGGCUCACCGCAACCUCCACCUCCAGGUUCAAGUGAUUCUCCUGCCUCAGCCUCUC